GACGAACGUUGGCGGCGUGCUUAAUACAUGCAAGUCAACUGAAGCAGUGGUAGUAAUACUACUGUGGAGGUGGCGCACGGGUGAGUAACGCGUAGGUAAUCUGCCUUUGGGUCUGACAUAACUCCGAGAAAUCGAAGCUAAUAUCAGAUGAUGCAGCGGCUUGACAUCAAGACAGUUGUUAAAGCUUCGGCGCCCAAAGAUGAGCCUGCGUCCCAUAGGUAGUUGGCGGAGUAAUAGCCCACCAAGCCCACGAUGGGUAGCUGGUCUGAGAGGAUGAUCAGCCACACUGGAACUGAGACACGGUCCAGACUCCUACGGGAGGCAGCAGUAAGGAAUAUUGCUCAAUGGCCGAAAGGCUGAAGCAGCAACGCCGCGUGAAGGAUGAAGGCCUUUUGUGUAAACUUCUGUAGAGAGAAGAAAAAACUCAUUCUAUGGAGAUUGAUGGUAUC
This 449-nucleotide ribosomal RNA is filed under the name uncultured bacterium. Its description in RNAcentral is "bacterial SSU rRNA". It matches the Rfam family "Bacterial small subunit ribosomal RNA", at positions 28 to 479 of the family's 1533-position model. The record is from RNAcentral.